Heterocephalus glaber (naked mole-rat) is the source of this 888-nucleotide long non-coding RNA. NCBI's taxonomy places the organism in Eukaryota, Metazoa, Chordata, Mammalia, Rodentia, Bathyergidae. The record is from Ensembl.
GGCCGAAAGGUCAGCGAGUGUUGGUGCUGCACAGCCAUUUGCCCCUUUCCAGAACCCCGACCCACAGGCUGCGUCUUAGUUCUCACUUUGCACGGUUUCAGCUCCAGAUUAGGAAUUUUAGAGCUAGAAGGGGGAAAUGGAGCCCAGGCUCUGCAGUUUAGAUCUUGAGUGUCCCCUGUGAAGGUUUAUAUCCCAAGUGGAGCUUUCAGAAGGCGGUUGGAGCAUGGGGGCUCUGAUGUCAUUGCUGGACCCAUUCAAUGGUAUUAUUGGGAAGGGAUGGGACUUUAGGGGAUGGGGCUUGGUCAAAGGGAGCAGGUCUUGGGGCUGUAACCUUGGAACUAUAUCUGGUCCCUGGCCCCUUCCUCCUCGCUCUUUCCCCCUCUCUUCUUCCUGGCAGCCGUGAGGUGAGCAGCUCUCCUCUGCCAUGACUGUCUGCCAUGAUGCUUCUUCCUCACCACAGCCCUACAGCCAGGGAGCCCUCUGAAACCUCUGAGACUAUGAACCAAGCUCUGGCUCCAUCAUUUCUUGCAACCACGUCCAGGUGGAUCAUCUUCAGCACUGCCCAUCUCAACCCUGAACCCAUCUCCUCCUGGGAAGUCAAUCGGCAAGUUGUCAGCACUGGCCUCAGCAGGAAGCUUUCGUCCCUCAACUCUUCCUGCCAAAAGCUCGGCAAAGCCCACUCCGUCUGGCCUGGAUCCCAAGGGACUGAUAGUCGGGUAGAAUUUCAUGAGAAGACCUGCGAAUCAAACAGCCCCAAAUGCAGCUGCCAGCAUUGGCAGGAAGAGAGCAUCUCUCUCACGGAAGGAGUCAGCACUGGCAGAGGGCCACACGCUGGGCUGUGGCAGAGGCAAGUGAAGCUUCGGGGGCUGGGGUGUGUGCCUUCUUACA